GCUGUCUUAGCUCAAAUGGAUAGAGCAUGGUUCUUCUAAAGCCAAGGUUGUAGGUUCAAAUCCUAUCGGCAGCU
This 74-nucleotide transfer RNA is filed under the name Caudoviricetes sp. RNAcentral describes it as "tRNA-Arg". It matches the Rfam family "tRNA". From Rfam's summary of the family: Transfer RNA (tRNA) molecules are approximately 80 nucleotides in length. Their secondary structure includes four short double-helical elements and three loops (D, anti-codon, and T loops). Lineage: Duplodnaviria; Heunggongvirae; Uroviricota; Caudoviricetes. The record is from RNAcentral.